RNAcentral lists this ribosomal RNA (1947 nucleotides) under human gut metagenome. RNAcentral describes it as "bacterial LSU rRNA". It matches the Rfam family "Bacterial large subunit ribosomal RNA", at positions 1 to 1977 of the family's 2925-position model. The record is from RNAcentral.
GAAAGUAAGCAAGGGCGUACGGGGGAUGCCUAGGCUCUUGGAGGCGAAGAAGGACGUGUUAAGCUGCGAAAAGCUGCGGGGAUUUGCAAAAAAGACUUGAUCCGCAGAUGUCCGAAUGGGGCAACCCGGCAGGUCGGAGACCUGUCACACCGGCAACGGUGAGCAAACCCUAUGAACUGAAACAUCUUAGUAAUAGGAGGAGGAGAAAGAAACAUCGAUUUCCCGAGUAGUGGCGAGCGAAAAGGAAAGAGCCCAAACCGGCAUUGUUACGGCAAUGCCGGGGUUAUAGGACUGCGAUAUCUUAAUACCAACGAACGAGAAAUGACUGGAAAGUCGUACCGUAGAGGGUGAAAGUCCCGUAUUGGUAAGUUCGGUAAGCGGUAGCAGUAUCCUGAGUAUGGCGGGACACGAGGAAUCCUGUCAGAAUUUGCGGGGACCACCCCGUAAGGCUAAAUACUCCCAAGAGACCGAUAGUGGACCAGUACCGUGAGGGAAAGGUGAAAAGUACCCCGAACAGGGGAGUGAAAAAGAACCUGAAACCGUACGCUUACAACCUGUCGGAGCCGCUUCGUGCGGUGACGGCGUGCCUUUUGGAUAAUGAACCUACGAGUUACUAAUCACUAGCGAGGUUAAGGACUAUAAAGUCCGGAGCCGAAGCGAAAGCGAGUCUGAAUAGGGCGUAUAGUUAGUGGUUGUAGACGCGAAACCUUGCGAUCUACCCAUGAGCAGGAUGAAGGUUGGGUAAAACCAACUGGAGGUCCGCACCGGUAAACGUUGAAAAGUUUUCGGAUGACUUGUGGGUAGGGGUGAAAGGCUAAUCAAGCUGGGAAAUAGCUCGUACUCCCCGAAAUGCUUUUAGGAGCAGCGUUGUAAUAGUCUACUGGAGGUAGAGCUACUGAUUGGAUGCGGGGGCUUCACCGCCUACCAAAUCCUGACAAACUCCGAAUGCCAGUAGAAUGAUUUGCAGCAGUGAGCCGCUGGGUGCUAAUGUCCGGCGACUAAAGAGGAACAACUCAGACCAUCAGCUAAGGCCCCCAAACAUACACUAAGUUGAACUAACGAUGUGCGACUGCAGCGACAGCUAGGAUGUUAGCUUGGAAGCAGCUAUUCAUUUAAAGAGUGCGUAACAGCUCACUAGUCGAGCGGUUGUGCGUGGAUAAUAACCGGGCAUCAAGUGUAUUGCCGAAGCUAUGGACUCUACGGAGUGGUAGGGGAGCAUUCCAUCGACGUCGAAGCCGAUUCGUGAGGAUCGGUGGAGUUUAUGGAAAAGCAAAUGUAGGUAUAAGUAACGAUAAGGCGGGAGAGUAACCCGCCCACCGCAAGACCAAGGUUUCCUGAUCAACGUUAAUCGGAUCAGGGUCAGUCGGGGCCUAAGGGUAAGCCGCAUGGUGAUCUCGAUGGACAAUCGGUUAAUAUUCCGAUACUGAUAUGAACUGCGACGGAGGGACGGAGAAGCGUAAGCUACGCCAACAGACGGAAUUGUUGGUUAAAGGGUGUAGGUAUAUGAUUCGGUUAAUAGCUGAUUCAUGCUGAAACCUGACAGUACCGAGCGGCUACGGCCAAUCGGAUAGUUAGCCCAAGCAAGCUUCCGAGAAAAACUUCUAAGCUUCAGGUUCAUAUCACCCGUACCGUAAACCGACACAGGUGGUCGAGGAGAGUAUCCUCAGGUGCUUGAGUGAAUCACGGAUAAGGAACUAGGCAAAUUGACCCCGUAACUUCGGGAAAAGGGGUCCCUACGCAAGUAGGGCGCAGCGAAGAGGUCCAGGCAACUGUUUAACAAAAACAUAUGGCUCUGCUAAUUCGAGAGAAGAAGUAUAGGGCCUGACACCUGCCCGGUGCUGGAAGGUUAAGAGGGGAUGUCAGCGCAAGCGAAGCAUUGAAUCGAAGCCCCAGUAAACGGCGGCCGUAACUAUAACGGUCCUAAGGUAGCGAAAUUCCUUGUCGGGU